This 254-nucleotide ribosomal RNA is filed under the name uncultured bacterium. RNAcentral's name for it is "partial 16S ribosomal RNA". It matches the Rfam family "Bacterial small subunit ribosomal RNA", at positions 524 to 776 of the family's 1533-position model. The record is from RNAcentral.
UACGAAGGGUGCAAGCGUUGCUCGGAAUUAUUGGGCGUAAAGGGUAGGUAGGUGGUAAUAAAAGUCUGGGGUGAAAUCCCUGAGCUCAACUCAGGACGUGCCUUGGAAACUUUAUUACUAGAGUGCUGGAGAGGUCCGCAGAAUUCCCCGGUGUAGCGGUGAAAUGCGUAGAGAUCGGGAGGAAUACCAGAGGCGAAGGCGGCGGACUGGACAGUCACUGACACUCAACUACGAAAGCGUGGGUAGCAAACAGG